UAUAUCUCAUGUACAAACCUAACCUCAAUCUAAUCAUAUAACUAACUCUUGGAUUCUAAUUAUGAACCUGUUUGUGUUGAAGCCUUUUCUUGUUAUCUACUGGUGCACAAUGAGGAUUCUUAGCUCUCUGUUCUCUUCUCCCUUAUUUUAGCAUCAAUAAUUUAAUUUGAUAUGAGAAGUGAUAGUAAUUAUGUAGACGUGAAAGGAAUAAACGAUAAAAGCAAGAAAGCAUAUUAGUCCAAGUUUUUGAGUGAUUGGAAGUGUAGCAUAUAUCCUUUUGCGCAACCAAAAUAUAAGGGCGCUAUUCAUCAGCAGUUUGCAUAUAGUAACUAUAGAUUUUAAAGCACGCGUCACUAAAAAAAGACUUUAGCUUGUCGGCCCACUGGGCGUCUCCCCACCACCACCACCUCCGCC
Molecule: long non-coding RNA, 414 nt
Filed under: Manihot esculenta (cassava)
Lineage: Eukaryota; Viridiplantae; Streptophyta; Magnoliopsida; Malpighiales; Euphorbiaceae
Description: long non-coding RNA (MESC_LNC008972)
Source: RNAcentral